AACGAACGCUGGCGGCAUGCCUAACACAUGCAAGUCGAACGAGACCUUCGGGUCUAGUGGCGCACGGGUGCGUAACGCGUGGGAACCUGCACUUAGGUUCGGAAUAACUCCCCGAAAGGGGUGCUAAUACCGGAUAAUGUCUUCGGACCAAAGAUUUAUCGCCUUUGGAUGGGCCCGCGUUGGAUUAGCUAGUUGGUAGGGUAAAAGCCUACCAAGGCGACGAUCCAUAGCUGGUCUGAGAGGAUGAUCAGCCACACUGGGACUGAGACACGGCCCAGACUCCUACGGGAGGCAGCAGUGGGGAAUAUUGUACAAUGGGCGAAAGCCUGAUCCAGCAAUGCCGCGUGAGUGAUGAAGGCCUUAGGGUUGUAAAGCUCUUUUACCCGGGAUGAUAAUGACAGUACCGGGAGAAUAAGCUCCGGCUAACUCCGUG
RNAcentral lists this ribosomal RNA (433 nucleotides) under uncultured bacterium. RNAcentral describes it as "partial 16S ribosomal RNA". It matches the Rfam family "Bacterial small subunit ribosomal RNA", at positions 29 to 507 of the family's 1533-position model. The record is from RNAcentral.